GGGGGUGUACCGGUUUCGACGGGGGCAUGGAGGCAGGACUAGCGGGCGGAUGCGCUUAACAUCCUUAAAAUGAGCACUUUUUAUAAAUUAAAGAACAACAAUAACGAAGUUCUUCUCGCUGCUUAAUUAAGCGAGCGUUCUGCCGGGGAGUACCACGGCCCCGGACAGGGCGUCGAUUAGUGGUGCACGUGAGUGCGGUAAGCUUUGCCCGCACCAUGCAUAAUGAAGCUACCAAGCCUGUGAGCGUGACGGCUCGCGCUCAGGCGAGGGAAUGUAAAUAACCGUCUGCGCCCGGAGAAGGUCUUGUUAAAGUACCUUCGGACAGGGGUUCAACUCCCCUCACCUCCACUU
RNAcentral lists this small RNA (351 nucleotides) under Eubacteriales bacterium. RNAcentral's name for it is "transfer-messenger RNA". It matches the Rfam family "transfer-messenger RNA". Rfam says of the family: Bacterial tmRNA, also known as 10Sa RNA or SsrA, is named for its dual tRNA and mRNA-like properties. Its role is to liberate the mRNA from a stalled ribosome. Lineage: Bacteria; Bacillati; Bacillota; Clostridia; Eubacteriales. The record is from RNAcentral.